UGGGGAAUAUUGGACAAUGGAGGGAACUCUGAUCCAGCAAUUCUGUGUGUGUGAAGAAGGUUUUAGGACUGUAAAACACUUUUAGUAGGGAAGAAAAAAAUGACGGUACCUACAGAAGAAGCAACGGCUAAAUACGUGCCAGCAGCCGCGGUAAUACGUAUGUUGCGAGCGUUAUCCGGAAUUAUUGGGCUUAAAGGGCAUCUAGGCGGUAAGACAAGUUGAAGGUGAAAACCUGUGGCUCAACCAUAGGCUUGCCUACAAAACUGUUGAACUAGAGUACUGGAAAGGUGGGUGGAACUACACGAGUAGAGGUGAAAUUCGUAGAUAUGUGUAGGAAUGCCGAUGAUGAAGAUAACUCACUGGACAGAAACUGACGCUGAAGUGCGAAAGCUAGGGGAGCAAAUAGG
Molecule: ribosomal RNA, 407 nt
Filed under: Verrucomicrobiota bacterium
Lineage: Bacteria; Pseudomonadati; Verrucomicrobiota
Description: Verrucomicrobia bacterium partial 16S ribosomal RNA
Rfam family: Bacterial small subunit ribosomal RNA
Source: RNAcentral